Molecule: long non-coding RNA, 573 nt
Filed under: Equus asinus (donkey)
Lineage: Eukaryota; Metazoa; Chordata; Mammalia; Perissodactyla; Equidae
Description: lncRNA (ENSEASG00005030739.1)
Source: RNAcentral
GCUCCAAGCACAAAGAAGAGCAACUGUAAACUCUCAGAAGCCAGAGACAAAAUGGUUUCCUCAGGGUCAAAGACAAAAGCAGAGAAACAUCAACGUUUAAGGAGCAUUUAAGAGAGAGGAAAAGAGAACAGAGGAGAAGCAGAAGAAAAUCCAAGUGAGCAAAGUAAGAGAAACCAAGGUCAAAAGUGCCUGAGAAGAGGCCAACAAUGUCACAUGCUGCAGGGAUAUCAAGCAAGGGGCAGCAAGUCAAAACUGCAAGUCAUGUAGCUGAAGAAUGUGCAAAGGAGAAAGUUUUCACCUAAUGUAACACCCAGAACCAAAGCUUGCCCCUGCUGCACAGAACCCAAGGACCGGGACACGACCACAAGUCGAAAGCUGGAAACUUUUCAGAAAGAAGGAUCCAUUGUCCAGGAAGAUCUGGUGUUAAAGCCCCUUUUCAUAUCCCAUAAUUGGUCUUCUUUAAAGUCCUUCCAAUCAAAAUCUCUUGCCAGCACUUCCACAUACCAGCCUGUCUCCCUAAUCCCUUAAAUUCUACCCCAAACCCUGGAUCAGGGAGACAAAUUUGCACCCUGC